Parus major (Great Tit) is the source of this 448-nucleotide long non-coding RNA. RefSeq lists it as uncharacterized. Lineage: Eukaryota; Metazoa; Chordata; Aves; Passeriformes; Paridae. The record is from RefSeq and is a predicted model, not a curated record. The transcript has 2 exons.
CUGACCCCCAUGACGUCACCUGACCCCCCGUGACGUCACCCGCGCUCACCCGGCCCCUCCCCCGCAGGCUCUGGGGCUCCUGGGCGGGGCCCGAAGGCGACAAAUUCGGGGCCCAAAAAUACGAGGGGGGAACGGGGUGUUGGCAGGGACCCAACAGAGCCACAACGGUGCGGCUCAGGUGUGGCCGGGACACGGCGGUGACGGCGGCGUCGGAGCCGAGCCGCUGCGAGUACCUGCUGGAGCUGGAGACACCUGCGGCCUGCAGGGAGCCCGAAACACCUGGGCACGAGGAGCACGAUGAACUCUGAGCCCCAAAAUAUCCCAAAAUGUCCCAAAUUAUCCCCAAAAUAUCCCAAAAUGUCCCCAAACCCCUGCAGGGAGCCCGAAACACCUGGGCACGAGGAGCACGAUGAACUCUGAGCUCCAAAAUAUCCCAAAACAUCCCAAA